GCCGAGACCGAUAGCGAACAAGUAGAGUGAUCGAAAGAUGAAAAGCACUUUGAAAAGAGAGUUAAACAGCACGUGAAAUUGUUGAAAGGGAAGCGCUUGCGACCAGACUCGGCCUCGGGGUUCAGCCAGCACUCGUGCUGGUGUACUUCCCCGGGGGCGGGCCAGCGUCGGUUUGGGCGGCCGGUCAAAGGCCCCAGGAAUGUAUCACCCUCCGGGGUUGUCUUAUAGCCUGGGGUGCAAUGCGGCCAGCCUGGACCGAGGAACGCGCUUCGGCACGGACGCUGGCAUAAUGGUUGCAAACGACCCGUCUUGAAACACGGACCAAGA
RNAcentral lists this ribosomal RNA (327 nucleotides) under Aspergillus sp. RNAcentral describes it as "partial large subunit ribosomal RNA". It matches the Rfam family "Eukaryotic large subunit ribosomal RNA", at positions 327 to 671 of the family's 3401-position model. Lineage: Eukaryota; Fungi; Ascomycota; Eurotiomycetes; Eurotiales; Aspergillaceae. The record is from RNAcentral.